UUUCCGCAAUGGGCGAAAGCCUGACGGAGCAAUGCCGCGUGGAGGUGGAAGGCCUACGGGUCGUCAACUUCUUUUCUCGGAGAAGAAAANAUGACGGUAUCUGAGGAAUAAGCAUCGGCUAACUCUGCGCCAGCAGCCGCGGUAAGACAGAGGAUGCAAGCGUUAUCCGGAAUGAUUGGGCGUAAAGCGUCUGUAGGUGGCUUUUUAAGUUCGCCGUCAAAUCCCAGGGCUCAACCCUGGACAGGCGGUGGAAACUACCAAGCUGGAGUACGGUAGGGGCAGAGGGAAUUUCCGGUGGAGCGGUGAAGUGCGUAGAGGUCGGAAAGAACACCAAUGGCGAGAGCACUCUGCUGGGCCGACACUGACACUGAGAGACGAAAGCUAGGGGAGCGAAUGG
This 397-nucleotide ribosomal RNA is filed under the name uncultured bacterium. RNAcentral describes it as "bacterial SSU rRNA". It matches the Rfam family "Bacterial small subunit ribosomal RNA", at positions 363 to 775 of the family's 1533-position model. The record is from RNAcentral.